RNAcentral lists this unclassified non-coding RNA (1167 nucleotides) under Centruroides sculpturatus (bark scorpion). Its description in RNAcentral is "uncharacterized LOC111629318, transcript variant X4". The record is from RNAcentral. Lineage: Eukaryota; Metazoa; Arthropoda; Arachnida; Scorpiones; Buthidae.
CCGCAACCUCACUAAUAAAAUCAGGUUUCUUCUCAAGGGCAUCAAGUAACUUUUUUACAUCAUAUCGAAAACCAAUCAUUUUGCAAAUUUCUCAAUGUACAUUUACAAUUAGCAAGUCUUUAAACGUGACCCACAAACACAGAACCCUGAUUUAGUAACAGUUAUUUUCUAACAAAAACAACAUAUUAAGAAUUAGUUAUUCAGUAUUCUAUCACAUUAGAUAUAUUAAAAGAUCCAUUUGCUGGCUUAAAAUCAUACGAGAACAAGAGAAUCGAAAUUUGAAUUUAUUCCAAAACUAAGGAUGAAAGUUUAUAUAUUUUUCAUGCUUUUCGUCCCGAUAAUGGCUGAAAAAGAAGUGAAAAAAUGCAGCUUGGAGAAUGUGUUAAAGUGUGGGCUGCUAAGAAACAAAUUUUCAGAAGAAUAUAAAAAGCCGUUUCCAACUACCGAAAAAGAAUUGACCAGACAAUGCGAAUUGUCUUACGAGAUGAUAGACUGUGGAUACAAUUAUAGCCAGGCUUGUUUAACCUCUAUGGAUAAAGUAAUAGGGCAGUUUGUUCUUUCGGGAACUAUACAAAAAAUGAAAGACCUUUGCAAUCCAGAACACUAAUUGCACAAAGAUUAUUUGAAGAACGCCGAAUGUAUGCUAAAUAAUUAUGGACUUCUGAAAGAUUGUGUUAAUAUCAUGAUGUCUGCAGGAAUACAAACAUAUGAAGAUAAAUCAGGACAUAAAUUGCUUGUAUUUUGUUGAUGAGUUUAUAAAAAUGUAUUAUUACGUCAUUAACUUGAUAAUUUAUAUAAAAUAAAUUUUAUUUUCAAGCGGAAUAAAUCGUAUGAGAGAAUGUAUUGCUGAUCGAUUUGAACGUGAAUGUAGCUCGAAGGCAGUCUUUUUAGGUGAACUACUAAUAGAAUUAUCUAUUACUGAAUUUAUUUUUGAGAUAUGUAAUCCCUAUUUAGAAGUUAAAAAUGAUUGUCCACCAUUACCAACCACAGUAAACGAAGAGCCAUACAAAAAUUAUUAUGUUAUGAAAUACGUUUCUCCUUAUCUUGAAAAUUACCAGCCACAGCAAGUAUAGAGCCAUACAGAAAUUAUGUUAUUAAAUACAUUUCUGCUUUUCCUAAAUAUUAAGUUUUUAUUUAAAAUAUUGUGAUGUUUGCUUAUUUGUUCGA